This 642-nucleotide unclassified non-coding RNA is filed under the name Hevea brasiliensis (rubber tree). Lineage: Eukaryota; Viridiplantae; Streptophyta; Magnoliopsida; Malpighiales; Euphorbiaceae. The record is from RNAcentral.
AUCAAGCUUUGUAUUUUCCAAACGCUGAGUAAACAUAAGUAUAGUUAUACAUCUAAACCAGAUGAUGCAUUUGACAUAGAAGAUAUAGAUUGAACAAAAUCUCAAAAGAAAAAAGAACCCCCAACUAGACAAGCAAGCAUCCUUUGUUGAUUCAUAGGAUUAAUAUUUUGUGCAGAAGAAAAACUUUCAAGCAGGAAAAUACCAAGAAAUACUGCACAAACAUUGGUCCACUUAAUAUCAUCAAGGGAUUCAAAGUUAUGUUUUAUUUGUGCAAACACGUCACUACACAGACUUAACAAGUAUGGAAACUAAAUAUAUUUGGUUGACCAUGGCACCAUAUUUUUGUCUUUGUAUACAGAUCAAGUAUGGUUCUAAUGUAUUGAAUUCUUCUUGCCUAGAUGUUAAUGCUAUCUUAACAUUUCGAAACUUCUACUUUAAAUUUAGGCAUUUACCAUGUCUGUCAUGCAUACAUAAAUGUUUUCGCACAUAUUUCAGGAAUCUGACUGAUAUGACAAAUGCAAGGACUGUUUCAUAAUUGACAGACCGAGAAAUGGAGAAAAACUGCCUAUUUAAUAUCAAAUCGACUAAAAAUUUAAUAAACCAAUUAAUUUCACUAACUGUGUUCUGAAGAUUGACUUGUCG